CGCAAUUAUUUAUACAAAAUUGAAAAAACGAUCCCCAAUUUCAACUCUGAAUCUCUCUGGAGAUUGGAUCGGUUACUGAAUCUCCAUCUUCCCCAUAGUGUUCGAGCUUUAACGAUCCUCCUAACUUCUCAGGGUUUCAGGGAGAAAUUGAGAGAUGGAUUUGGUGAAUAGCUACAAGGGGGUUGUAGGCCUGGUUUUCGGCAAUGAGAAAUCUUCGUCUUCAAAUGAAGAUAGUUAUGUUGAGCGAUUGCUGGACUGUAUAAGCAAUGGGAAGCUGGCAGAGGACAGGAGGACUGGCUAUGGUGGAGCUUCAGUCUGUUGUGGCUGAAAGCUCUGGUGCUCAGCUGGUGUUUGGAGCAAUGGGAUUUCCUGUGAUGAUGGGUGUAUUGAGAGAAGAAUGCGACGAUGUUGAAAUGGUUUGGUUCUGUUUCUUGCAUCAAGAAAGCUCAAUUCUUCUUGCUCAAUUCUUCUUGAUUCACCAAGCAUGAUCCUCCGGCGCAACACAUCGAUGAUCCUCGACAGUCAUCUCUUUGUAUAAACAAAUGAGUCUGGUAGGAAUCUAUUCGAACGGGCCUGUUCCGUCGAAUAAAGAAUCAAUAUCAGAAAGAAGUUUGAAAGUUUGCCGUUGGCUCAUGAAAGUUUGAAUCAUCACUUGAAGAAGCUUAAAUGGGAGAAAUUCUUCAUACCGGCAAAAAAGUUGAUUUAGAGUGUGUCCAGAGACAAAAGCAGACUCAGAAGGGUAAGGGAAGAAGGGUAAGGGAAAAAGCUAAAUGAGAGGGGAGAAAUUGUUCAUGUAUUAGAAAGUUGUUAUAUGCUACCGGCUGAAAAAGUUGAUUCAGAGUGUGUCCAGAGACAAAA
Fragaria vesca subsp. vesca is the source of this 858-nucleotide RNA transcript. It is a transcript of the gene named golgin candidate 6-like, with no coding region annotated. The transcript is spliced from 4 exons. The record is from RefSeq and is a predicted model, not a curated record. Lineage: Eukaryota; Viridiplantae; Streptophyta; Magnoliopsida; Rosales; Rosaceae.